GUACACGCUGUGACUAGCAUAUCAAUAAGCGGAGGAAAAGAAACUAACAAGGAUUCCCCUAGUAACGGCGAGUGAAGCGGGAAGAGCUCAAAUUUGAAAUCUUAAAGGGUUUCCCUUUACGAAUUGUAGUUUAAAGAAGUGUUCUCUGUUGAGGUUUUGGUAAAAGUUCUUUGGAAUAGGACAUCAUAGAGGGUGAGAAUCCCGUAUUUGACCUUUACUUUCAACUUUGUGAUACACUUUCAAAGAGUCGGAUUGUUUGGGAAUGCAGUCCAAAAUGGGUGGUAAAUUUCAUCUAAAGCUAAAUAUUGGCGAGAGACCGAUAGCGAACAAGUACCGUGAGGGAAAGAUGAAAAGAACUUUGAAAAGAGAGUUAAACAGUACGUGAAAUUGUCAAAAGGGAAGCGUUUGACACCAGUGUUGUUUUUCUGAAAAUCAAUUAAAGAACUGUUUAUGCUAAGUUGUUUAGACUUUAUCAGCUAUCUGUUUAGUUUUGAGCUUUUCUUUAAUGCACUUUUCAGUUAACAAGUCAACAUCAAUUUCUUUUGCUGUAAAAAAGCUUGAGGAAGGUGGCUUGAGAUUCGUCUUAAGUGUUUAUAGCCUCUUGCCUAUGCAGUCGGAGAGAUUGAGGUCUGCAGCGUAGAUCCUUCGGGGCUAAAUGCAUUUGUGCUAAGUUAUAGCAUUUUAUAGACAACUUGUUGACUAUGAUUUGUCUUGUAGCUUACUCGCUUAUGUUAUUUUACCUACGCUUAGGAUGUUGACUGAUAUGUAGUCGUA
This 774-nucleotide ribosomal RNA is filed under the name uncultured Neocallimastigales. Its description in RNAcentral is "partial large subunit ribosomal RNA". It matches the Rfam family "Eukaryotic large subunit ribosomal RNA", at positions 22 to 644 of the family's 3401-position model. The record is from RNAcentral. Lineage: Eukaryota; Fungi; Neocallimastigomycota; Neocallimastigomycetes; Neocallimastigales.